Molecule: ribosomal RNA, 253 nt
Filed under: uncultured bacterium
Lineage: Bacteria
Description: partial 16S ribosomal RNA
Rfam family: Bacterial small subunit ribosomal RNA
Source: RNAcentral
UACGGAGGGUGCAAGCGUUAUCCGGAUUUACUGGGUUUAAAGGGUGCGUAGGCGGGCCUUUAAGUCAGUGGUGAAAUCUCCCCGCUCAACGGGGAAACUGCCAUUGAUACUAUUGGUCUUGAAUUUAGUUGAGGUGGGCGGAAUGUGUCGUGUAGCGGUGAAAUGCUUAGAUAUGACACAGAACACCGAUUGCGAAGGCAGCUCGCUAAACUAAUAUUGACGCUGAGGCACGAAAGCGUGGGGAGCAAACAGG